GCCGAUGUAGCUCAGUUGGUCAGAGCAGCUGAUUUGUAAUCAGCAGGUCGGGGGUUCGAGUCCCUUCAUCGGCU
This 74-nucleotide transfer RNA is filed under the name Bacteroidales bacterium. RNAcentral's name for it is "tRNA-Thr". It matches the Rfam family "tRNA". Rfam says of the family: Transfer RNA (tRNA) molecules are approximately 80 nucleotides in length. Their secondary structure includes four short double-helical elements and three loops (D, anti-codon, and T loops). The record is from RNAcentral. Lineage: Bacteria; Pseudomonadati; Bacteroidota; Bacteroidia; Bacteroidales.